RNAcentral lists this long non-coding RNA (560 nucleotides) under Coturnix japonica (Japanese quail). Its description in RNAcentral is "lncRNA (ENSCJPG00005016227.1)". Lineage: Eukaryota; Metazoa; Chordata; Aves; Galliformes; Phasianidae. The record is from RNAcentral.
AUGAGAGCUCUCAUGUGGGAGAAAAUCUUCAGCUCUUCCUCCUCCAGCUGCACAGAGCAGCCCCAGGCAAGAGACAGAUUUUGUGUAGCAGCUACUCUGACCAUUUCCAGUGCUAAGAACAAUGACAGUCCCACUGUGUGCCUUGGAGGAGAUGCAGUGCUCCCAGGACACCUGGAGAAGAACAUGAGGAAUGGUGUUUCCUCCUCUGUGGAUCUGAAAAUGACUGUAGAACAAAGAGAAAAGUGGAGGUGUCAGGCUGCAGAAGGUGUUGGUUCCCCUUCUUGCAGCUUAUCUACAAGCAACAGUGAAAAGCUUCCAGCUACCCCAAAAGUCUCUAGACAUCUUCCUGGCAGGCAGGUUCAAUCCCUACCCAAAGCACUAGCUGGAGAAGAAACACACUGGGAGAGCACCUGUUAAUCAAGUGUAUUGCUAGUUACCCCCUUUUAAAAGUCAAGUCAUACAACUGAAAAGAUUUGUCUCUUGAGGGCAGAUUUGUGACCUUUUCAAACUCCUCCUAAAGAGGAAAUAAAUGAUAAAUGCUUUCAAAGCUACCUGAGUCU